RNAcentral lists this ribosomal RNA (433 nucleotides) under uncultured bacterium. RNAcentral describes it as "partial 16S ribosomal RNA". It matches the Rfam family "Bacterial small subunit ribosomal RNA", at positions 29 to 507 of the family's 1533-position model. The record is from RNAcentral.
AGCGAACGCUGGCGGCAGGCUUAACACAUGCAAGUCGAGCGGGCACGUCGGUGUCAGCGGCAGACGGGUGAGUAACACGUGGGAACGUACCCUUCGGUUCGGAAUAACGCUGGGAAACUAGCGCUAAUACCGGAUACGCCAUUAUGGGGAAAGGUUUACUGCCGUAGGAUCGGCCCGCGUCUGAUUAGCUGGUUGGUGGGGUAAUGGCCUACCAAGGCGUCGAUCAGUAGCUGGUCUGAGAGGAUGAUCAGCCACACUGGGACUGAGACACGGCCCAGACUCGUACGGGAGGCAGCAGUGGGGAAUAUUGUACGAGGGGGGCUAGCCUGAUCCAGCCACGCCCGGUGAGUGAGGAAGGCGUUAGGGUUGUAAAGCUCUUUUGUCCGGGACGAUAAUGACGGUAACGGAAGAAUAAGCACCGGCUAACUUCGUG